CGUCGGGGUCUCCUCAUUGUGCAUGCUGUGUGUAUUUCUCUGACCGCCACACAGCGCCUGCAAUGUGGAGGUCGAGACA
Molecule: non-coding RNA, 79 nt
Organism: Poecilia formosa (Amazon molly)
Lineage: Eukaryota; Metazoa; Chordata; Actinopteri; Cyprinodontiformes; Poeciliidae
Source: Rfam